AGCAAGUUGUGCGUCGGCAUCAUAUUUUCUAACUUUUAUUGUAGUGAGACAUAAAAUUAGAGAAUCAGCAGCCAAAACAAUGAUUAAUGCUUAUGGCAAUAAUUUGUUUUCUUUUGAAAGCAAGGUUCGCCGUACCGGUACCGAACCCCAUACCGGUGCCGCACUAGUAUAAACGUACCGAGUGUCGGUACGGUACGGUAUGCUCGGUACCGACCGUACCGACAUUGGUGUACCGAUAUCGGUACCCAUCGGUACGGGUACGGUACGCUCGGUACCGACCGGUACUGACCGGUACAGCGAACCUUGCUACUAACUAAGUAGAGUUCUUCACCUACCUAUGUGCAUUUGCGACGAUAAUGAUCUAGAACAAGUGCGAAGACUAGGUAAGCAUUUUCAUGUUCCAUCCAUCUUUUAUGGAGUCAAAUUUUAUGCAUCAAAUACAAAUUAUUCUCCCUUCCCUGAAAACCUAACAUUCAGAAGUCAAGUUGAAGUCAUAGUAAAGAAAAACCCUAAACAAGAAGAUAGGUGCAUCGAGAGCUUGGAUAUAUGAUAAUCAAUUGGAGAGCUGGCAAGAAAAAUACCUAGCAGAAUUCAAUCAUACAAGAUUCAUCUAAAACUAAAAGAGGUGUCACCGAAAGUGGAAAAAAAAGAGGAAAUUUAUGAUAAAAAAUCCAUUUAUCACUAAUUUCAGAGAUUUCGUUACUUAUUCUUUCAAAGGCGACUACCUUUCUCUCUUCAAAAAGAUACAAAGAUACUCUCCUAACUCCAUUUCUGAUCAUCUGCUUUGGAGAUCGGUUAGCUCCAAAGCUCUUCAGGAAGGAGUUUAUACAGAGAUUUCAACAUUGGAGGUAUGAUUUCAGCAUAAGCAAAACUUAUGUGGAAAUGCUGCAUUCCAGACCAGGUCAUAUUUGUCAAUUGUUAGCAGUUCACUAUCCAAUUCUCACAGCACAAAAUCUUAGAACAAGGAGUUCAACAGCAUCAAACUUCUGUGUUCUUUGCAAUCUGCAUAAUAAAAUGGUGUAUCAUCUUAAUCUUCAUUGCAGAUUUACUUGAGCUACUGCAAAAAGAUAGGCAAGGGUUUUAGGAUAGUGGAACUUCCUUAGACAGCAAAGGAAUUAUGGACAUCUAGUAGGAAAAGAGAAAUCAGUAACAAAUGGAAUUAUGAUCGAGCAAGUCAAGUUCCUAGCCACUGACUGGACAAGGUUUCCCAAUCACAAUCCUUCAGGAGUUCAGACCUACUUCUUAUACUUNN
RNAcentral lists this long non-coding RNA (1252 nucleotides) under Phoenix dactylifera (date palm). RNAcentral's name for it is "long non-coding RNA (PDAC_LNC007192)". The record is from RNAcentral. Lineage: Eukaryota; Viridiplantae; Streptophyta; Magnoliopsida; Arecales; Arecaceae.